GACGAACGCUGGCGGCGUGCCUAAUAUAUGCCAGUUGAGCGCUGAAGGUUGGUACUUGUACCAACUGGAUGAGCAGCGAACGGGUGAGUAACGCGUGGGGAAUCUGCCUUUGAGCGGGGGACAACAUUUGGAAACGAAUGCUAAUACCGCAUAAAAACUUUAAACACAAGUUUUAAGUUUGAAAGAUGCAAUUGCAUCACUCAAAGAUGAUCCCGCGUUGUAUUAGCUAGUUGGUGAGGUAAAGGCUCACCAAGGCGAUGAUACAUAGCCGACCUGAGAGGGUGAUCGGCCACAUUGGGACUGAGACACGGCCCAAACUCCUACGGGAGGCAGCAGUAGGGAAUCUUCGGCAAUGGACGAAAGUCUGACCGAGCAACGCCGCGUGAGUGAAGAAGGGUUUCGGAUCGUAAAACUCUGUUGGUAGAGAAGAACGUUGGUGAGAGUGGAAAGCUCAUCAAGUGACGGUAACUACCCAGAAAGGGACGGCUAACUACGUG
RNAcentral lists this ribosomal RNA (497 nucleotides) under uncultured bacterium. Its description in RNAcentral is "partial 16S ribosomal RNA". It matches the Rfam family "Bacterial small subunit ribosomal RNA", at positions 28 to 507 of the family's 1533-position model. The record is from RNAcentral.